CCUGCUCAGAUUGAACGCUGGCGGCAGGCUUAACACAUGCAAGUCGAGCGGUAACAGGAGAAGCUUGCUUCUCGCUGACGAGCGGCGGACGGGUGAGUAAUACUUAGGAAUCUGCCCAGUAGUGGGGGAUAGCUCGGGGAAACUCGAAUUAAUACCGCAUACACCCUACGGGGAAAAGGGGGCGCUUGCGCUCUCGCUAUUGGAUGAGCCUAAGUCGGAUUAGCUAGUUGGUGGGGUAAAGGCCUACCAAGGCGACGAUCUGUAGCUGGUCUGAGAGGAUGAUCAGCCACACCGGGACUGAGACACGGCCCGGACUCCUACGGGAGGCAGCAGUGGGGAAUAUUGGACAAUGGGGGGAACCCUGAUCCAGCCAUGCCGCGUGUGUGAAGAAGGCCUUUUGGUUGUAAAGCACUUUAAGCAGUGAAGAAGACUCUAUGGUUAAUACCCAUAGACGAUGACAUUAGCUGCAGAAUAAGCACCGGCUAACUCUGUGCCAGCAGCCGCGGUAAUACAGAGGGUGCAAGCGUUAAUCGGAAUUACUGGGCGUAAAGCGAGCGUAGGUGGCUUAAUAAGUCAGAUGUGAAAUCCCCGGGCUUAACCUGGGAACUGCAUCUGAUACUGUUAGGCUAGAGUAGGUGAGAGGGAGGUAGAAUUUCAGGUGUAGCGGUGAAAUGCGUAGAGAUCUGAAGGAAUACCGAUGGCGAAGGCAGCCUCCUGGCAUCAUACUGACACUGAGGUUCGAAAGCGUGGGUAGCAAACAGGAUUAGAUACCCUGGUAGUCCACGCCGUAAACGAUGUCUACUAGUCGUUGGGGAACUUGAUUCCUUAGUGACGCAGCUAACGCAAUAAGUAGACCGCCUGGGGAGUACGGCCGCAAGGUUAAAACUCAAAUGAAUUGACGGGGGCCCGCACAAGCGGUGGAGCAUGUGGUUUAAUUCGAUGCAACGCGAAGAACCUUACCUGGUCUUGACAUAUCUAGAAUCCUGCAGAGAUGCGGGAGUGCCUUCGGGAAUUAGAAUACAGGUGCUGCAUGGCUGUCGUCAGCUCGUGUCGUGAGAUGUUGGGUUAAGUCCCGCAACGAGCGCAACCCUUUUCCUUAGUUACCAGCGGUUCGGCCGGGGACUCUAAGGAUACUGCCAGUGACAAACUGGAGGAAGGCGGGGACGACGUCAAGUCAUCAUGGCCCUUACGACCAGGGCUACACACGUGCUACAAUGGUAGGUACAGAGGGCUGCUACACAGCGAUGUGAUGCGAAUCUCAAAAAGCCUAUCGUAGUCCAGAUUGGAGUCUGCAACUCGACUCCAUGAAGUCGGAAUCGCUAGUAAUCGCGGAUCAGAAUGCCGCGGUGAAUACGUUCCCGGGCCUUGUACACACCGCCCGUCACACCAUGGGAGUUGAUUGCACCAGAAGUGGGUAGCCUAACUUUUAGAGGGCGCUCACCACGGUGUGGUCGAUGACU
This 1460-nucleotide ribosomal RNA is filed under the name Psychrobacter sanguinis. RNAcentral's name for it is "bacterial SSU rRNA". It matches the Rfam family "Bacterial small subunit ribosomal RNA". The record is from RNAcentral. Lineage: Bacteria; Pseudomonadati; Pseudomonadota; Gammaproteobacteria; Moraxellales; Moraxellaceae.